Molecule: ribosomal RNA, 111 nt
Filed under: Metarhizium rileyi
Lineage: Eukaryota; Fungi; Ascomycota; Sordariomycetes; Hypocreales; Clavicipitaceae
Description: 5.8S ribosomal RNA
Rfam family: 5.8S ribosomal RNA (bases 54-111)
About the family: 5.8S ribosomal RNA (5.8S rRNA) is a component of the large subunit of the eukaryotic ribosome.
Source: RNAcentral
UGUAUCUCUUAGCCUUUGGCACGUCUGAGUGGAAUCAUACAAAAAUGAAUCAAAACUUUCAACAACGGAUCUCUUGGUUCUGGCAUCGAUGAAGAACGCAGCGAAAUGCGA